CAUUGAGAAGCUAAAUAAGCGUUAACCUUUUAAGUUAAAGAUUGGGAGCUUAGAUCUCCCCUUAAUGA
Molecule: transfer RNA, 68 nt
Filed under: Puma concolor (puma)
Lineage: Eukaryota; Metazoa; Chordata; Mammalia; Carnivora; Felidae
Description: tRNA-Lys
Rfam family: tRNA
About the family: Transfer RNA (tRNA) molecules are approximately 80 nucleotides in length. Their secondary structure includes four short double-helical elements and three loops (D, anti-codon, and T loops). Further hydrogen bonds mediate the characteristic L-shaped molecular structure. tRNAs have two regions of fundamental functional importance: the anti-codon, which is responsible for specific mRNA codon recognition, and the 3' end, to which the tRNAs corresponding amino acid is attached (by aminoacyl-tRNA synthetases). tRNAs cope with the degeneracy of the genetic code in two manners: having more than one tRNA (with a specific anti-codon) for a particular amino acid; and 'wobble' base-pairing, i.e. permitting non-standard base-pairing at the 3rd anti-codon position.
Source: RNAcentral